Molecule: ribosomal RNA, 254 nt
Filed under: uncultured bacterium
Lineage: Bacteria
Description: partial 16S ribosomal RNA
Rfam family: Bacterial small subunit ribosomal RNA
Source: RNAcentral
CACGUAGGGGACGAGCGUUGUCCGGAUUCAUUGGGCGUAAAGAGCGCGUAGGCGGCUCGGAAAGUCGGUCGUGAAAUCCUGGGGCUCAACCCCGGAACUGCGUCCGAUACUUCCGAGCUGGAGGCAGGUAGGGGAGAUCGGAAUUCCUGGUGUAGCGGUGAAAUGCGUAGAUAUCAAGAGGAACACCUGAGGCGAAGGCGGGUUGCUAGGCUGACACUGACGCUGAGUGCGCGAAAGCCAGGGGAGCAAACGGG